GACAGAGGGGACUAGCGUUGUUCGGAAUCACUGGGCGUAAAGGGCGCGUAGGCGGCUAUAUAAGUCAGGGGUGAAAGCCUGGGGCUCAACCUCAGAAUUGCCUUUGAUACUGUAUAGCUUGAGUUUUGAAGAGGAUAGUGGAAUUCCUAGUGUAGAGGUGAAAUUCGUAGAUAUUAGGAGGAACACCAGUUGCGAAGGCGGCUAUCUGGUCAAAUACUGACGCUGAGGCGCGAAAGCGUGGGGAUCAAACAGG
Molecule: ribosomal RNA, 253 nt
Filed under: uncultured bacterium
Lineage: Bacteria
Description: partial 16S ribosomal RNA
Rfam family: Bacterial small subunit ribosomal RNA
Source: RNAcentral